Long non-coding RNA from Brassica napus (rape), 2014 nucleotides. RefSeq lists it as uncharacterized. The record is from RefSeq and is a predicted model, not a curated record. The transcript has 5 exons. NCBI's taxonomy places the organism in Eukaryota, Viridiplantae, Streptophyta, Magnoliopsida, Brassicales, Brassicaceae.
GACGCGUGUCGCGCUUCUCCACAUACCGCGCUUUCUUCACUCCUUUUCGCGCUUUUGAUUUGGGCUUCAUUUGCCAGGCCCGUAAGUGAAGAACCCUAGAUCGCGUCUCGCGAUUACACCAUCGCCUCCGUCCUGAUUUGCGAUUCCGGUAACGGUUCAGACGAGACUUAACUCCCAUUUAUUAUUACCUCCACGAUGUGCCUUCAAUGCGGUCGUCGCGUUGCAUAGGCGGGUUUUCUUCUCAGACCUCAAGUCCGGCAAGUGCUCAUCCGCUGUUGAAGCUCGACUUCUGCGAUUCUGGGAGGCGAAGAAUGUGAAACGCGGUGGGGAGUUGAUGUGGGUCGACAUGCUCUUGAUUGAUGUCAAUAUCAAACGCUCGCCAGCGGAGAAGGCGCUAAUCAGGCCGCGUUUGGAGCGGAGUUGCUUUACUCACCUCUAUCUGCUUCACGAGUUGCCACCGUGAAUCUUUAGGGUUCGUUGUUAGCUGGAAGCUCUGAUUAGUUUCACCAACAAUGGAGGUUCUGAAAGAGCAAACCCCCAUGAAUUUGUACGGUUUGGCAUGAUUGGAGACGUUUGCGGCGAAAGGAUAUGAAUGCACAAGAGAAUGAAGAGAAAUGAUGCAGAUCAUGUUGAUGUUUUAGUCCAUCUGAUUCAGCAAACUAAACAAGCACAUUGAUCCCAAUAAUGCUCUUUAGCUUCCCUUAGAAACCUUAAUGGUUGAUUUUUAAAGAGUCCACAUGAAUUUCUCUUUCAGAUGCAUAAGGUAAAACCACAACAAUUUUAUGUUGAUUUUUUAGUUUACUCACUGCAACAUUCAACCAUCCAUCUCAGUUAGGCUUGCACUGCUUAGUGCAGUGGGUGUUUGCUACAAGUCAAGAAAGUUGCCAUUGCUUAUAUAACUUCGCCAAAAGAUUGUUGGGAACUAACUCAAAUCUAGCUAGCCAUGCCAAGCUGACCACACACGUUGUGGAAGCUACUAAACAUAACAUGAUGGAUGAACCGUUAGUGUAUAAACAAAUUAAUGCCAUCUCAACAUAUAUAUAUUUAUUUAUUUAUUACUAAGGUAUGCAGGUUUACGUGGUUCUCUGCAGCAUAACAACUUUCUGUGAUAUUUGCAGGUUUUCUUUGCUCUCCAUCUUAACUCUUAAGACCCAUGAUCAAUUCAGAUUUGUAAGUCUGAGGGUUUUAUGUGAUCAAUGCGGCAGUGGAUGAAGUUAAAUAAGUAUAGAAAAAUUGUUUUGUUUAUAUACAUAAUUUACAAUAUGUAAAUUGUGAAUGAUGUAGCUGUGUAGAAAUAUUAACUGUAGUAUAUAUUUUUAAAACAAAAGAUUGAAAUGGAAAUGUAAAGUAUUAAAAUCUGCAUGUUAAGUAUUUAAAGAAGUAAUUGCAGAAAUUAAAUGUUAUAAAGUAUACAGAGGUAACGAUAUAGAAAGUUAAAAAGAGAACUUUUUUUUGUAAAAGGGGAUAGAAAACAUACAAUUAAAAUAUUUUUAGGAUAGCUGUCCAGGAUUCUCUUUAAACCAAUUAAAUAUUUAACCAGCGUGUUUUUCUUUGUUUUUUAUUUCAAUUGUAACACAGAGAAUUUAAAAUAUCCCAAAACCGUUCAAUUUAAAUCGAGAACUCUAAAGUGUAUGAGAUUAAAUAAGAAAAUAUUUACUUAAUCUAUACAAGAAUUAAUAUUAGGAAAAAAAAGACCAAAAUAGUAUUAAAUCAAGUUUUUGUUCCCAAACUAGCACUCAAGGUCAAAAGUCACAAAAAUAGCACUCAAGGGGUAGGGUUUAGGGUUUACAAUUUAGGGUUUAGGGUUUAGAGUUUAGGUUUUAGGGUUUAGAGUUGAGAAGUGAGGUUUUGGGGAUAAGAUUUCAAAUUUUGAAAAAUAAAAAAAUUUAAAUUUUUCAAAAGAUAAAAUGCUAUUUUGGUCAUUUUAGUUUUUGAGUGCUGUUUUUGUGAUAUAAACUUAAAAAGGUGUUAUUUUGGAGAUUUUCCCAUAUAUUAAUGCCAUAAUUCUUUAAUA